RNAcentral lists this ribosomal RNA (742 nucleotides) under uncultured Hyphomicrobiales bacterium. RNAcentral describes it as "bacterial SSU rRNA". It matches the Rfam family "Bacterial small subunit ribosomal RNA", at positions 8 to 796 of the family's 1533-position model. Lineage: Bacteria; Pseudomonadati; Pseudomonadota; Alphaproteobacteria; Hyphomicrobiales. The record is from RNAcentral.
AGAGUUUGAUCCUGGCUCAGAGCGAACGCUGGCGGCAGGCUUAACACAUGCAAGUCGAGCGGUUCCUUCGGGGACAGCGGCAGACGGGUGAGUAACGCGUGGGAACGUGCCCAUCGGUUCGGAAUAACCCGGGGAAACCCGGGCUAAUACCGGAUACGUGCGAGAGCAGAAAGAUUUAUCGCCGAUGGAUCGGCCCGCGUCUGAUUAGCUAGUUGGUGGGGUAAAGGCCUACCAAGGCGACGAUCAGUAGCUGGUCUGAGAGGAUGAUCAGCCACACUGGGACUGAGACACGGCCCAGACUCCUACGGGAGGCAGCAGUGGGGAAUAUUGGACAAUGGGCGCAAGCCUGAUCCAGCCAUGCCGCCUGAGUGAUGAAGGCCUUAGGGUUGUAAAGCUCUUUCGCACGCGACGAUAAUGACGGUAGCGUGAGAAGAAGCCCCGGCUAACUUCGUGCCAGCAGCCGCGGUAAUACGAAGGGGGCUAGCGUUGCUCGGAAUCACUGGGCGUAAAGGGCGCGUAGGCGGACAUUUAAGUCAGGGGUGAAAGCCCAGAGCUCAGCUCUGGAAUUGCCUUUGAUACUGGGUGUCUCGAGUCUGGUAGAGGUUGGUGGAACUGCGAGUGUAGAGGUGAAAUUCGUAGAUAUUCGCAAGAACACCGGUGGCGAAGGCGGCCAACUGGACCAGUACUGACGCUGAGGCGCGAAAGCGUGGGGAGCAAACAGGAUUAGAUACCCCCGUAGUCC